AUUCAGCCGACGAGUCUCAAAUAAGACGAAACGCUCGUCCUAGAU
This 45-nucleotide non-coding RNA is filed under the name Schistosoma mansoni. The record is from RNAcentral. Lineage: Eukaryota; Metazoa; Platyhelminthes; Trematoda; Strigeidida; Schistosomatidae.